UCUCUGCACAGCCUGUCGUAAGCCAGGAUAAAGGAGGAACGUUCGUUGUAGCCUUGGCAAGCCAACGGUAAAAUGUCUGAGAGUUGGUUACUGCUUGGCAGUUCAUACCAUCUAUUUGGAGAUGAUUGCAACCCUGGCAGUAUCAAGAGGUAGUUGCAGUAUUGGCUGUUCAUACUACCUAGUGAGGAGGUGAUUGCUGCUUUCCAGUUCAUAUCAUCUGAUCUUUUUCCUAUACCCCUACUAGGGUUUUGAGACUUUUGAUAAAUCUGUCUUCAUCAGUUUUGGCGAGUAAACUCAGGAUAGUCUUUUGGCAUCCGUUUCUGCAGCCAUGCUGGAGAUAGAUCUCUUUCUUUGUCUCACUCAACUGGGCCUAUUUGAAAAAGAUAUUAUGUUGGGCUUGACCUAGUAAUGUGAGUUGCCAGGCCCUCUCUAGCUAUGGAGAAUGGUACUUAGGCAGCCGCUUUGUGGUCAAGCACAUAUGUGCGAGGUUUUUCAUAUGGUCGGAAAAGAGUUGGUUACUGCUUGGCAGUUCAUAUCGACGGUAGUCAGAUUUCAAACAGUAGCUGGUUACUGCCCACCACCACUGUAGAUCAUCAUCGAAAAGGAGAGAAGUGGGAGUUUUUCUUUGAGGGUUUGUUGCCCCUCUCCUGAUAUCUCUCUGAUUUUUAAAAAUCAGCGCUGAUGUUUUUGAUCUUGAUAAAUCAAACAACCCUGCAACUACCACCACAUCUUCUCUCUAUCCAAGUUCACUAUAUGGCACAAGCUCAGCUUAACAUUGAGCCUUACUUUAUUUUUUAUUAGUUACCUCCUAAGUUCCUUGAUGCUCUUUCUUGUCGUUUUUCAGGUAGUUGUUGAUGAUGCUAGAGAGUUGAAUGCUUGCUUAGUACUGUCUAGGAGGUUGCAGCGUGCAUGGGUGAGCUAUUCAUGUCAAGGACGCAUCCAGAAAGGGAAGCCAUACUUAUCAAGACUGUCUGUAAUUUCUGUUUGUUUCGUGCAAUUAUGCUUCCUCUUCUAGUUAAAUCCACGCUGAAACGAUGGUAAUGAUACGAAGCAGUGAUGAUUCACAUAAAACAAAAUUCACACUAGGAUAAAUCUUUCUUCAUUAAUCAUGGCAUGGAAAACUCCUGGAUGUUCUUUUGAAAGUUGAAUACGUUUUAAAUUGUGAUUUUUUAUUCUUCUUUCAUUUGAGUGCUCGAUUUGCCGCCAUGUUAAUGGAGAUGGAUACCUAUCCCUGUGUGACUACGAUUUGUCACACUUCAACAUAUACUAUUUCGUUAGUAUCAUGGAUGAAGUAGAGAAAUGGAAAUGUUUUAACUCAAAUAAAAAACAAUUGUGAGUUUCACAAAAAAAUUGGAAUACAUGUGAUUUUAUUUGCAA
Long non-coding RNA from Papaver somniferum (opium poppy), 1377 nucleotides. RefSeq lists it as uncharacterized. The record is from RefSeq and is a predicted model, not a curated record. The transcript has 2 exons. Lineage: Eukaryota; Viridiplantae; Streptophyta; Magnoliopsida; Ranunculales; Papaveraceae.